AUAUCUCUCUGUACGGGAAGGAUGAGAAGCUUCGACUAAGGUUCGAUUCGAGCGCAGCGAGAAAGCGUUGCCGCAGGCAACGACCCGAAGGGCGAAGCGCGCAGCGCUCCUUCAUAGC
This 118-nucleotide small RNA is filed under the name Salmonella enterica subsp. enterica serovar Typhimurium. Its description in RNAcentral is "partial RtT sRNA". It matches the Rfam family "RtT RNA", at positions 1 to 115 of the family's 130-position model. From Rfam's summary of the family: This family represents a bacterial cis-regulatory element known as RtT RNA. The exact function of RtT is unknown although it is thought that it may be involved in changing the cellular response in relation to amino acid starvation. The record is from RNAcentral. Lineage: Bacteria; Pseudomonadati; Pseudomonadota; Gammaproteobacteria; Enterobacterales; Enterobacteriaceae.